UGAGGAAUAUUGGUCAAUGGCCGAGAGGCUGAACCAGCCAAGUCGCGUGAGGGAAGACGGCCCUACGGGUUGUAAACCUCUUUUGUCGGGGAGCAAAGCGAACCACGUGUGGUUCAUUGAGAGUACCCGAAGAAAAGCAUCGGCUAACUCCGUGCCAA
RNAcentral lists this ribosomal RNA (158 nucleotides) under uncultured bacterium. Its description in RNAcentral is "partial 16S ribosomal RNA". It matches the Rfam family "Bacterial small subunit ribosomal RNA", at positions 355 to 511 of the family's 1533-position model. The record is from RNAcentral.